RNAcentral lists this ribosomal RNA (1066 nucleotides) under Trichodina sp. RNAcentral describes it as "partial large subunit ribosomal RNA". It matches the Rfam family "Eukaryotic large subunit ribosomal RNA", at positions 61 to 1211 of the family's 3401-position model. Lineage: Eukaryota; Ciliophora; Oligohymenophorea; Mobilida; Trichodinidae. The record is from RNAcentral.
GAAACUAACCAGGAUUGUCUCAGUAGCGGCGAGUGAAGAGACAUCAGCCCAGAUUUAGAAUUGUAAUCUCGGAAGCAAUUCCGAGCUCGACGAAUGGCAUAACUUACCUGGGACGGUAGGCCAGAGAAGGUAACAGCCCUGUGAUGCCAGGACCGAGCCGUGAAUGCGUGGAGAGUCGGGUUGUUUGGGAAUGCAGCCCUAAGCGGGAGAUAGACAUCUUCUAAGGCUAAAUACCGGUGGGAGACCGAUAGCGCACAAGUACUGCGAAGGAAAGAUGAAAAGAACUUUGGAAAGAGGGUUAAAAGACGUGAAAUCGUUGAAGUGGAACUGAUCGCAGCCCGUCCAGGCUAUGUCUCCGUGCUUAGCUCUCAGGACCCCCGGACUCAAAUCCCAAGUCUCAUGAGUUAAGUACUGGCAUAGCACGUCCCCGCAUCAGUUCUAGUGCUGCUAAUCAAACGCUUCAAGUUAGGUUGCGUCUGGAUCAGCACUGGGACUGAGGAAGAUGCGAGGAAAGCGACUGUGAUCGACCCGUCUUGAAACACGGACCAAGGAGUCUAACUGUCGUGCGAGUGGGAGGGUGUCAAACCCGAACGCGUACCGAAAGGGAGUAUAAGGUGCAAGGACAACCGCAGCACCAGCGAGCGAGAGCUCAGCAAGAGCACGAGGGUUAGGACCCGAAAGAUGGUGAACUAUGCCCGAGUAGGGUGAAGCCAGGGGAAACUCUGGUGGAGGCUCGAAGCGUUACUGACGUGCAAAUCGUUCGUCGAACUUGGGUGUAGGGGCGAAAGACUAAUCGAACCAUCUAGUAGCUGGUUCCCUCUGAAAUUUCUCUCAGGAUAGCGGGGACAGAACAGUUUUAUCAGGUAAAGCGAAUGAUUAGAGUCCUCGGGGGCCAGAGGCCCUUGAACUAUUCUCAAACUUUCAAUUGGUAAGAGCCCAUGGGUUGCUUAACUGAACCCAGGGGAACAAUGUCUGUCCUCAGUGGGCCAUUUUUGGUAAGCAGAACUGGCGAUGAGGGAUGAACCUAACGUCGGGCUAAGGUGCCCAAUUCCACGCUCAUGAGACA